Molecule: long non-coding RNA, 978 nt
Filed under: Heterocephalus glaber (naked mole-rat)
Lineage: Eukaryota; Metazoa; Chordata; Mammalia; Rodentia; Bathyergidae
Description: lncRNA (ENSHGLG00000047061.1)
Source: RNAcentral
GAGGGGUGGUCUCCUCUCUCAGGUAUAAACUAAAGGUACCAAUUUGGAAGUAAUUGUAUACCGAGUACUUAACACCAUGAGAUGGGAUGAGACCACCAAAUCAAAAAUAGAAAAGAGAAGAGCCACAAGGGCUGGUUUCUAUGGCACACUCACUAAAAGCUCAGAAAUAUGAGGAGGAACGAGGAAAGUUCAAGGACACAAGGAAGAAUAAGCAAAAGUAACUAAGAGGGAGUGAGCAGAGAAGCAAGAGAAAAAGCAAGAAUAUCACAGCGACCAAACAAGAGACAAAAAGAAAGAGAAGGUGGUCAGUUGAGUCAGGAAUGAUCCAAAUAGAGAAAAAUCUUAUGACGGACAGAGAGAAAUGCUGAAUCAAGGCCCUUCAGUCAGUGAGAGGAUGAGAUCUGGUACACAACUAGAGAGACUUCAUUCUCAGAAAUGUGACUUUCAUUCACAAUCAGCCAAAUACUUGAGGUAGCAUGAGAAGAACAGAGGGAUUCCUGUCUUCCAAGAAUCUACUAAUCUUUGCCUAAACCAAGCCAUACCACUGCAGUCACUUCUCUCCCUGCUGUUUCGUUCUCCGACAUCUCUGUCCUCAAACAGUCCACAGUAGUGCAUCUCCUCAGACUGGCUCAGUGCAUUUGAAUUGGUGAUACAUUAACUGACCUCCAGUUUCACCUCAAGAAGUUUUUGGAGAAGAGUUCACAGAUACCUCAAGAUACACAUCCCAGGGCUGGGGAUUUAGCUCAAUGGUUCCACUGCCUGCCUCGCAAGCGGAAGGACCUGAGUUCGACCCCCAGUACCAAAAAACAAAACAAAACAAAGACACACAUCCCAGGAAACCUAACCCUUUGGGAUUCUCAAAGUGGGUUGAAUUAUGAACUCAUGAUUAUAACUUUUAAAUUAAAUUUGUGGUAUUACUGUAAAUAAUCCUUGAGCAAUGAUGAAGGCUACUCCUAAGACAAAUAUUCCACUAAUCAG